CUAAGAAUAUUCCGCAAUGGACGGAAGUCUGACGGAGCGACGCCGCGUGGAUGACGAAGGCCGAAAGGUUGUAAAGUUCUUUUGCUGGGGAAGAAUAACCGCAGGAGGGAAUGCCUGUGGGAUGACAAGAACCGGCGAAUAAGCCCCGGCCAACUACGUGCCAGCAGCCGCGGUAACACGUAGGGGGGCGAGCGUUGUUCGGAAUUACUGGGCGUAAAGGGCAUGUAGGCGGCUUGGAAAGCCUGGCGUGAAAGUCUGCAGCUUAACUGCAGGGGUGCGCUGGGAACUGCUGAGCUUGAGUGACGGAGAGGGAGCUGGAAUUCCUGGUGUAGGGGUGAAAUCUGUAGAUAUCAGGAAGAACACCGAUGGCGAAGGCAAGCUCCUGGCCGAUGACUGACGCUGAGGUGCGAAAGUGUGGGGAUCAAACAGGAUUAGAUACCCUGGUAGUCCACACAGUCAACGAUGUGCACUAGGUGCUGGGGCGGUAGCUUCGGUGCCGGAGCGAACGUGGUAAGUGCACCGCCUGGGGAGUAUGCUCGCAAGGGUGAAACUUAAAGG
RNAcentral lists this ribosomal RNA (558 nucleotides) under uncultured bacterium. Its description in RNAcentral is "partial 16S ribosomal RNA". It matches the Rfam family "Bacterial small subunit ribosomal RNA", at positions 355 to 907 of the family's 1533-position model. The record is from RNAcentral.